CUUUCGUAGGUAUAUACACGUGAGAGAUCUACGCAGGAACGUAUAUAUCUUUAGCGAAACGACUUUCAGGGUAAAAGAGUACGUCGCUCAUAUUUCAAACAACUCCGUCAAUUAUCUAAUCUAGCGGCAUAUAGUCAUCUGCUUCCCCGACUAUUCAAAUCGUCGAGGCGCGAGAAGCUCCGUUGGUACAAAGCGUUCGACGGCGUUUAGAAACGUGCGAGGUGGACUCAACGCUAUCUAGUGGUAGCGCGCUAAUAGACGAGCGGUCAGCGAACGAGGAGAUAAGGAAAAAAAGAGAAAGAGAGAGAGUGAGAGUGAGAGAGAGGGAGACCGUCGUCCGUCAGACCGUGUAAACUCCGUGGGAGGACGAGAGGAGUGGAAUUGAUACGAAGGAGAGAUACGCGCCGGGAUCGAACCGGAAUAUCCAGGAAUAUCCGAGCGAUGCGCUGACCCGUGUCCUUCACGACGGAUCUCCGUCUUCGUCGUGGUCGGCGAGAUCGGCGCGAGACGUCCGGUGACGUUCGUUCGACCAAAUGUAAUUGCACCAUAAUGGUAUCUAGCAUCUAAAUGCUGCUAAAGGAGGAAGCAAGAGUUAGCAACAUGACUGAAGGUGCAGAGACUCAGCCAAAUGCGGGAAAUGAGCCCCAGGCGGAAGCCUUAGAA
This is a long non-coding RNA of Temnothorax curvispinosus, 663 nucleotides long. RefSeq lists it as uncharacterized. Lineage: Eukaryota; Metazoa; Arthropoda; Insecta; Hymenoptera; Formicidae. The transcript is spliced from 5 exons. The record is from RefSeq and is a predicted model, not a curated record.